CAGCAGCCGCGGUAAUACGUAGGGUGCGAGCGUUAAUCGGAAUUACUGGGCGUAAAGCGGGCGCAGACGGUUACUUAAGCAGGAUGUGAAAUCCCCGGGCUCAACCUGGGAACUGCGUUCUGAACUGGGUGACUAGAGUGUGUCAGAGGGAGGUAGAAUUCCACGUGUAGCAGUGAAAUGCGUAGAGAUGCGGAGGAAUACCGAUGGCGAAGGCAGCCUCCUGGGAUAACACUGACGUUCAUGCCCGAAAGCGUGGGUAGCAAACAGGAUUAGAUACCCCCGUAGUCCCUGUCUCUUAUAC
This 301-nucleotide ribosomal RNA is filed under the name uncultured bacterium. Its description in RNAcentral is "partial 16S ribosomal RNA". It matches the Rfam family "Bacterial small subunit ribosomal RNA", at positions 509 to 807 of the family's 1533-position model. The record is from RNAcentral.